AACUGCGAGUGAAGCGGGAAAAGCUCAAAUUUAAAAUCUGGUGGCCUUUGGCCGUCCGAGUUGUAAUUUAGAGAAGCGUCUUCCGCGCUGGACCGUGCACAAGUCUCCUGGAAUGGAGCGUCAUAGAGGGUGAGAAUCCCGUCUUUGGCACGGACACCUGGUGCUUCUGUGAUGCGCUCUCGAAGAGUCGAGUUGUUUGGGAAUGCAGCUCAAAAUGGGUGGUGAACUCCAUCUAAAGCUAAAUAUUGGCGAGAGACCGAUAGCGAACAAGUACCGUGAGGGAAAGAUGAAAAGCACUUUGGAAAGAGAGUGAAACAGUACGUGAAAUUGUUGAAAGGGAAACGCUUGAAGUCAGUCGCGUCGACCGAGACUCAGCCUUGCCUUGGCUUGGUGUACUUCUCGGCCCGACGGGUCAGCAUCAAUUUUGUCCCUCGGAUAAUGGCAGGGGAAAGGUGGCACCUUUACGGGUGUGUUAUAGUCUCUUGUCGCAUGCGAGGGGUGGGAUUGAGGAACUCAGCGCGCGCCUUGGUGUCGGGGCUUUG
Molecule: ribosomal RNA, 542 nt
Filed under: Lactarius kesiyae
Lineage: Eukaryota; Fungi; Basidiomycota; Agaricomycetes; Russulales; Russulaceae
Description: LSU rRNA
Rfam family: Eukaryotic large subunit ribosomal RNA
Source: RNAcentral